AUAGAGAAAAAAUUAGAGAAGUUUAGGAAUCCAAUGAAAAGAAGGAGAGAAGCCAGUUCGCUCCACAGAGUAUGAAGGAAGAAGGAGAGGUCAUCAAACAUCUUUUCGAUAAGGCUGCAUCGAUCAACUUUAAAUUUUUAUUAUAAUUUUAUUUUAUUUCAUUAUUAUUUUUAAAUUUUUUGUAAUUGACUUCAUUUUUAAUUAAUAUAAAAUUUAUUUUAUUAUACUUUUAAAUUUUUAUUCUUUAUUUUUAUUACAAGUAGAUGCUA
RNAcentral lists this long non-coding RNA (269 nucleotides) under Elaeis guineensis (African oil palm). RNAcentral describes it as "long non-coding RNA (EGUI_LNC068857)". The record is from RNAcentral. Lineage: Eukaryota; Viridiplantae; Streptophyta; Magnoliopsida; Arecales; Arecaceae.